UUGGUCCUACGGGGGGCAGCAGUAGGGAAUCUUCCACAAUGGGCGAAAGCCUGAUGGAGCAACGCCGCGUGGGUGAAGAAGGUCUUCGGAUCGUAAAACCCUGUUGUUAGAGAAGAAAGUGCGUGAGAGUAACUGUUCACGUUUCGACGGUAUCUAACCAGAAAGCCACGGCUAACUACGUGCCAGCAGCCGCGGUAAUACGUAGGUGGCAAGCGUUAUCCGGAUUUAUUGGGGGUAAAGGGAACGAAGGCGGUCUUUUAAGUCUGAGGGGAAAG
Molecule: ribosomal RNA, 275 nt
Filed under: uncultured bacterium
Lineage: Bacteria
Description: partial 16S ribosomal RNA
Rfam family: Bacterial small subunit ribosomal RNA
Source: RNAcentral